GACGAACGCUGGCGGCGUGCUUAACACAUGCAAGUCGAACGGAAAGGCCCUGCUUUUGUGGGGUGCUCGAGUGGCGAACGGGGGAGUAACACGUGAGUAACCUGCCCUUGACUUUGGGAUAACUUCAGGAAACUGGGGCUAAUACCGGAUAGGAGCUCCUGCUGCAUGGUGGGGGUUGGAAAGUUUCGGCGGUUGGGGAUGGACUCGCGGCUUAUCAGCUUGUUGGUGGGGUAGUGGCUUACCAAGGCUUUGACGGGUAGCCGGCCUGAGAGGGUGACCGGCCACAUUGGGACUGCGAUACGGCCCAGACUCCUACGGGAGGCAGCAGUGGGGAAUAUUGCCCAAUGGGCGGAAGCCUGAUGCAGCAACGCCGCGUGCGGGAUGACGGCCUUCGGGUUGUAAACCGCUUUCGCCUGUGACGAAGCGUGAGUGACGGUAAUGGGUAAAGAAGCACCGGCUAACUACGUG
Molecule: ribosomal RNA, 468 nt
Filed under: uncultured bacterium
Lineage: Bacteria
Description: partial 16S ribosomal RNA
Rfam family: Bacterial small subunit ribosomal RNA
Source: RNAcentral